CCUACGGGAGGCAGCAGUGGGGAAUAUUGGGCAAUGGAGGAAACUCUGACCCAGCAAUGCCGCGUGAAUGAAGAAGGUCUUCGGAUUGUAAAGUUCUUUAGUCAGGGAAGAAGUCAAUGACGGUACCUGAAGAAUAAGCUCCGGCUAACUACGUGCCAGCAGCCGCGGUAAUACGUAGGGAGCAAGAGUUGUUCGGAAUGACUGGGCGUAAGGGGUGCGUAGGCGGGUGUGAAAGUUAGAAGUGAAAUACCCAGGGCUCAACUCCGGUGCUGCUUCUAAAACUGUAUGACUUGAGUGUAGUAGAGGUUAGCGGAAUGUAUGGUGUAGCGGUGGAAUGCGUAGAGAUUA
RNAcentral lists this ribosomal RNA (348 nucleotides) under uncultured bacterium. Its description in RNAcentral is "partial 16S ribosomal RNA". It matches the Rfam family "Bacterial small subunit ribosomal RNA", at positions 338 to 699 of the family's 1533-position model. The record is from RNAcentral.